UACGGAAGGCAGCAGUGGGGAAUAUUGCACAAUGGGCGCAAGCCUGAUGCAGCCAUGCCGCGUGUAUGAAGAAGGCCUUCGGGUUGUAAAGUACUUUCAGUCGUGAGGAAGGUGUUAAGGUUAAUAACCUUAGCAAUUGACGUUAGCGACAGAAGAAGCACCGGCUAACUCCGUGCCAGCAGCCGCGGUAAUACGGAGGGUGCGAGCGUUAAUCGGAAUUACUGGGCGUAAAGGGCACGCAGGCGGUUAAUUAAAGUUGGAUGUGAAAUCCCCGGGCUUAACCUGGGAAUGGCAUUCAAGACUGGUUAGCUAGAGUCUUGUAGAGGGGGUAGAAUUCCAUGUGUAGCGGUGAAAUGCGUAGAGAUGUGGAGGAAUACCGGUGGCGAAGGCGGCCCCUGGGACAAAGACUGACGCUCAUGUGCGAAAGCGUGGGGAGCAAACAGGAUUAGAUACC
This 454-nucleotide ribosomal RNA is filed under the name uncultured bacterium. RNAcentral describes it as "bacterial SSU rRNA". It matches the Rfam family "Bacterial small subunit ribosomal RNA", at positions 340 to 786 of the family's 1533-position model. The record is from RNAcentral.